GAUGAACGCUGGCGGCGUGCCUAAUACAUGCAAGUCGAGCGAACAGACGAGGAGCUUGCUCCUCUGACGUUAGCGGCGGACGGGUGAGUAACACGUGGAUAACCUACCUAUAAGACUGGGAUAACUUCGGGAAACCGGAGCUAAUACCGGAUAAUAUAUUGAACCGCAUGGUUCAAUAGUGAAAGACGGUUUUGCUGUCACUUAUAGAUGGAUCCGCGCCGCAUUAGCUAGUUGGUAAGGUAACGGCUUACCAAGGCAACGAUGCGUAGCCGACCUGAGAGGGUGAUAGGCCACAAUGGAACUGAGACACGGUCCAGACUCCUACGGGAGGCAGCAGUAGGGAAUCUUCCGCAAAGGGCGAAAGCCUGACGGAGCAACGCCGCGUGAGUGAUGAAGGUCUUCGGAUCGUAAAACUCUGUUAUUAGGGAAGAACAAAUGUGUAAGUAACUAUGCACGUCUUGACGGUACCUAAUCAGAAAGCCACGGCUAACUACGUG
This 497-nucleotide ribosomal RNA is filed under the name uncultured bacterium. RNAcentral describes it as "partial 16S ribosomal RNA". It matches the Rfam family "Bacterial small subunit ribosomal RNA", at positions 28 to 507 of the family's 1533-position model. The record is from RNAcentral.